Molecule: ribosomal RNA, 1665 nt
Filed under: Escherichia coli
Lineage: Bacteria; Pseudomonadati; Pseudomonadota; Gammaproteobacteria; Enterobacterales; Enterobacteriaceae
Description: partial 23S ribosomal RNA
Rfam family: Bacterial large subunit ribosomal RNA
Source: RNAcentral
GCGAACCGGGGGAACUGAAACAUCUAAGUACCCCGAGGAAAAGAAAUCAACCGAGAUUCCCCCAGUAGCGGCGAGCGAACGGGGAGCAGCCCAGAGCCUGAAUCAGUAUGUGUGUUAGUGGAAGCGUCUGGAAAGGCGCGCGAUACAGGGUGACAGCCCCGUACACAAAAAUGCACAUGCUGUGAGCUCGAUGAGUAGGGCGGGACACGUGGUAUCCUGUCUGAAUAUGGGGGGACCAUCCUCCAAGGCUAAAUACUCCUGACUGACCGAUAGUGAACCAGUACCGUGAGGGAAAGGCGAAAAGAACCCCGGCGAGGGGAGUGAAAAAGAACCUGAAACCGUGUACGUACAAGCAGUGGGAGCACGCUUAGGCGUGUGACUGCGUACCUUUUGUAUAAUGGGUCAGCGACUUAUAUUCUGUAGCAAGGUUAACCGAAUAGGGGAGCCGAAGGGAAACCGAGUCUUAACUGGGCGUUAAGUUGCAGGGUAUAGACCCGAAACCCGGUGAUCUAGCCAUGGGCAGGUUGAAGGUUGGGUAACACUAACUGGAGGACCGAACCGACUAAUGUUGAAAAAUUAGCGGAUGACUUGUGGCUGGGGGUGAAAGGCCAAUCAAACCGGGAGAUAGCUGGUUCUCCCCGAAAGCUAUUUAGGUAGCGCCUCGUGAAUUCAUCUCCGGGGGUAGAGCACUGUUUCGGCAAGGGGGUCAUCCCGACUUACCAACCCGAUGCAAACUGCGAAUACCGGAGAAUGUUAUCACGGGAGACACACGGCGGGUGCUAACGUCCGUCGUGAAGAGGGAAACAACCCAGACCGCCAGCUAAGGUCCCAAAGUCAUGGUUAAGUGGGAAACGAUGUGGGAAGGCCCAGACAGCCAGGAUGUUGGCUUAGAAGCAGCCAUCAUUUAAAGAAAGCGUAAUAGCUCACUGGUCGAGUCGGCCUGCGCGGAAGAUGUAACGGGGCUAAACCAUGCACCGAAGCUGCGGCAGCGACACUAUGUGUUGUUGGGUAGGGGAGCGUUCUGUAAGCCUGUGAAGGUGUACUGUGAGGUAUGCUGGAGGUAUCAGAAGUGCGAAUGCUGACAUAAGUAACGAUAAAGCGGGUGAAAAGCCCGCUCGCCGGAAGACCAAGGGUUCCUGUCCAACGUUAAUCGGGGCAGGGUGAGUCGACCCCUAAGGCGAGGCCGAAAGGCGUAGUCGAUGGGAAACAGGUUAAUAUUCCUGUACUUGGUGUUACUGCGAAGGGGGGACGGAGAAGGCUAUGUUGGCCGGGCGACGGUUGUCCCGGUUUAAGCGUGUAGGCUGGUUUUCCAGGCAAAUCCGGAAAAUCAAGGCUGAGGCGUGAUGACGAGGCACUACGGUGCUGAAGCAACAAAUGCCCUGCUUCCAGGAAAAGCCUCUAAGCAUCAGGUAACAUCAAAUCGUACCCCAAACCGACACAGGUGGUCAGGUAGAGAAUACCAAGGCGCUUGAGAGAACUCGGGUGAAGGAACUAGGCAAAAUGGUGCCGUAACUUCGGGAGAAGGCACGCUGAUAUGUAGGUGAAGUCCCUCGCGGAUGGAGCUGAAAUCAGUCGAAGAUACCAGCUGGCUGCAACUGUUUAUUAAAAACACAGCACUGUGCAAACACGAAAGUGGACGUAUACGGUGUGACGCCUGCCCGGUGC